Molecule: ribosomal RNA, 363 nt
Filed under: Chloroflexota bacterium
Lineage: Bacteria; Bacillati; Chloroflexota
Also listed under: 1 other name
Description: Chloroflexi bacterium partial 23S ribosomal RNA
Rfam family: Bacterial large subunit ribosomal RNA
Source: RNAcentral
GAUAAGGUCCCAAGGGUUGGGCUGUUCGCCCAUUAAAGCGGUACGUGAGCUGGGUUCAGACCGUCGUGAGACAGGUCGGUCUCUAUCCGCUGUGGGCGUUGGGAGUUUGAGAGGCGCUGCCCCUAGUACGAGAGGACCGGGGUGGACGCAGCGCUCGUGAGCCGGUUGUUUCGCCAGAAGCACAGCCGGGUAGCGAACUGCGGAACGGAUAACCGCUGAAAGCAUCUAAGUGGGAAACCGACCUCAAGAUGAGACUCCCCAUCCGAAAGGAGUAAGACCGCUGGUAGACGACCAGUUGGAUAGGCCGGAGGUGGAAGCGUGGCAACACGUGGAGCUGACCGGUACUAAUGGUCGAGGGCUUCU